This 1533-nucleotide ribosomal RNA is filed under the name uncultured bacterium. Its description in RNAcentral is "16S ribosomal RNA". It matches the Rfam family "Bacterial small subunit ribosomal RNA". The record is from RNAcentral.
AGUUUGAUCAUGGCUCAGGACGAACGCUGGCGGCAUGCCUAACACAUGCAAGUCGAACGGAGUUAUUAUUCAGAAGUUCUUCGGGAUGGAAGGAUAAGAACUUAGUGGCGGACGGGUGAGUAACGCGUGGGUAACCUGCCCUUUUGUGGGGAACAACUUCGAGAAAUCGGAGCUAAUACCGCAUAAUAAUAGAGGAUCGCAUGAUUCUUUAAGGAAAGAUGGCCUCUGAAGAUGCUAUCGCAAAAGGAUGGACCCGCGUCUGAUUAGCUAGUUGGAAGGGUAACGGCCUACCAAGGCAACGAUCAGUAGCCGGCCUGAGAGGGUGAACGGCCACAUUGGGACUGAGACACGGCCCAAACUCCUACGGGAGGCAGCAGUGGGGAAUCUUCCGCAAUGGGCGAAAGCCUGACGGAGCAAUGCCGCGUGAGUGAAGAAGGCCUUCGGGUUGUAAAACUCUGUCCUUAUCGAAGAGAGGUAGGUAUGUGAAUAAUGUACCUAUAGGACGGUAGAUAAGGAGGAAGCCCCGGCUAACUACGUGCCAGCAGCCGCGGUAAUACGUAGGGGGCGAGCGUUGUCCGGAAUCACUGGGCGUAAAGGGCGCGUAGGCGGUUUAAUAAGUCAGUGGUGAAAACUGAGGGCUCAACCCUCAGCCUGCCACUGAUACUGUUAGACUUGAGUAUGGAAGAGGAGAAUGGAAUUCCUAGUGUAGCGGUGAAAUGCGUAGAUAUUAGGAGGAACACCAGUGGCGAAGGCGAUUCUCUGGGCCAAGACUGACGCUGAGGCGCGAAAGCGUGGGGAGCAAACAGGAUUAGAUACCCUGGUAGUCCACGCCGUAAACGAUGGAUACUAGGUGUUAGUAGUUUCGAUGCUACUAGUGCCGGAGUAAACACAAUAAGUAUCCCGCCUGGGGAGUACGGUCGCAAGACUGAAACUCAAAGGAAUUGACGGGGGCCCGCACAAGCGGUGGAGCAUGUGGUUUAAUUCGACGCAACGCGAAGAACCUUACCAAGACUUGACAUCCUCCUGACAAGAUAUGUAAUGUAUCUCUUUUCUUCGGAGACAGGAGAGACAGGUGGUGCAUGGUUGUCGUCAGCUCGUGUCGUGAGAUGUUGGGUUAAGUCCCGCAACGAGCGCAACCCUUAUUUCUAGUUGCCAGCAGUAAGAUGGGGACUCUAGAGAGACUGCCAGUGACAAACUGGAGGAAGGUGGGGAUGACGUCAAAUCAUCAUGCCCCUUAUGUCUUGGGCUACACACGUGCUACAAUGGUCAGAACAGAGGGAAGCGAAGCCGCGAGGUGGAGCAAAUCCCAGAAAACUGAUCUCAGUUCGGAUUGCAGGCUGCAACCCGCCUGCAUGAAGUCGGAAUCGCUAGUAAUCGCGGGUCAGCAUACCGCGGUGAAUACGUUCCCGGGCCUUGUACACACCGCCCGUCACACCACGAAAGUUAGUAACACCCGAAGCCGGUGGCCUAACCCGCAAGGGAGGGAGCUGUCGAAGGUGGGACUNAUGAUUGGGGUGAAGUCGUAACAAGGUA